RNAcentral lists this transfer RNA (73 nucleotides) under Termitinemataceae bacterium. RNAcentral's name for it is "tRNA-Thr". It matches the Rfam family "tRNA". From Rfam's summary of the family: Transfer RNA (tRNA) molecules are approximately 80 nucleotides in length. Their secondary structure includes four short double-helical elements and three loops (D, anti-codon, and T loops). Further hydrogen bonds mediate the characteristic L-shaped molecular structure. tRNAs have two regions of fundamental functional importance: the anti-codon, which is responsible for specific mRNA codon recognition, and the 3' end, to which the tRNAs corresponding amino acid is attached (by aminoacyl-tRNA synthetases). tRNAs cope with the degeneracy of the genetic code in two manners: having more than one tRNA (with a specific anti-codon) for a particular amino acid; and 'wobble' base-pairing, i.e. permitting non-standard base-pairing at the 3rd anti-codon position. The record is from RNAcentral. Lineage: Bacteria; Pseudomonadati; Spirochaetota; Spirochaetia; Spirochaetales; Termitinemataceae.
GCCGCCUUAGCUCAGCUGGUAGAGCACUUGACUUGUAAUCAUGAGGCCUUCCGUUCAAACCGGAAAGGCGGCU